GGCCGCCCUCCCGAGCGCUGCAGGGGCCCCUGUCCCCUCAGCCAGGGCAGGAGCCCCAGAUCAGCAGCGAGGAUGUUUGUCGGGCCCGCCGCCAGCUGGUGGCCCCGUUUUCCUGCCUCGCACACCA
Molecule: non-coding RNA, 127 nt
Organism: Perognathus longimembris pacificus (Pacific pocket mouse)
Lineage: Eukaryota; Metazoa; Chordata; Mammalia; Rodentia; Heteromyidae
Source: RefSeq, a predicted model, not a curated record